AUACGAGGGGUGCAAGCGUUGUUCGGAAUUACUGGGCGUAAAGGGAGCGUAGGCGGAGAUUCAAGCGGAUUGUACAAUCCCGGGGCCCAACCCCGGCUCUGCAGUCCGAACUGGAUCUCUUGGAUAGUUCAGGGGCAGGCGGAAUUCCUGGUGUAGCGGUGGAAUGCGUAGAGAUCAGGAAGAACACCGAUGGCGAAGGCAGCCUGCUGGGGACUUAUCGACGCUGAGGCUCGAAAGUGCGGGUAGCAAACAGGAUUAGAUACCCUGGUAGUCCGCACCGUAAACGAUGCAUACUGGGUGUCCGGGGGUUCCCCCGGGUACCGUAGCCAACGCGUUAAGUAUGCCGCCUGGGGAGUGCGUACGCAAGUAUGAAACUCAAAUGAAUUGGCGGGG
Molecule: ribosomal RNA, 393 nt
Filed under: uncultured bacterium
Lineage: Bacteria
Description: partial 16S ribosomal RNA
Rfam family: Bacterial small subunit ribosomal RNA
Source: RNAcentral